Molecule: ribosomal RNA, 135 nt
Filed under: Prolemur simus (greater bamboo lemur)
Lineage: Eukaryota; Metazoa; Chordata; Mammalia; Primates; Lemuridae
Source: RNAcentral
AUCUAUGGUCAUAACACCCUGCAUGCACCCAAUCACGUCUGAUCUCAAAAGUUAAACACGGUCUGGCCUGGUCAGUACUUGGAUGGGAGAACAAAAUAAUUAUUUCUUGUGGGGAGGAGUGUUUUAUCAUCGACC